RNAcentral lists this ribosomal RNA (468 nucleotides) under uncultured marine eukaryote. RNAcentral's name for it is "SSU rRNA". It matches the Rfam family "Eukaryotic small subunit ribosomal RNA", at positions 613 to 1081 of the family's 1831-position model. The record is from RNAcentral.
UUGUGGUUAAAAAGCUCGUAGUUGGAUCUCGGCGGACUGAGGGCGGUUUGCUUGCUAGUAUUACUGCCCUAUAGUCCGUAGUUUUGCCAGAGGUUUCGGGGUGCUCUUAAUCGAGUGUCCCGGGAUGCUGGCAGGUUUACUUUGAAAAAAUUAGAGUGCUCAAAGCAGGCUAUUACGCCUGAAUAUUCGUGCAUGGAAUAAUAGAAUAGGAAGUCGUUUCUAUUUUGUUGGUUUUCGGAAAUCGACUUAAUGAUUAAUAGGGACAGUCGGGGGCAUUUGUAUUCAAACGACAGAGGUGAAAUUCUUGGACCGUUUGAAGACAAACUACUGCGAAAGCAUUUGCCAAGAAUGUUUUCAUUAAUCAAGAACGAAAGUUAAAGGUUCGAAGGCGAUUAAGAUACCGCCCUAGUUUUAACCAUAAACGAUGCCAGCUAGCGAUCUGCGGACGUUUUUUUUGUAGACUCCGCA